AUUGAACGCUGGCGGCAGGCCUAACACAUGCAAGUCGAACGAGUGGCGGACGGGUGAGUAAUGUCUGGGAAACUGCCUGAUGGAUGGGGAUAACUACUGGAAACUGUAGCUAAUACCGCAUACCAUCGCCUGUUCCCAGAUGGGAUGAGCUAGUAGGUGGGGUAAAGGCUCACCUAGGCGACGAUCCCUAGCUGGUCUGAGAGGAUGCACAGGCACACGGGAACUGAGACACGGUCCAGACUCCUACGGGAGGCAGGAGUGGGGAAUAUUGCACAAUGGGCGAAAGCCUGAUGCAGCCAUGCCGCGUGUAUGAAGAAGGCCUUCGGGUUGUAAAGUACUUUAAGCGGGGAGGCGUUACCAGCAGAAGAAGCACCGGCUAACUCCGUGCCAGCAGCCGCGGUAAUUC
Molecule: ribosomal RNA, 406 nt
Filed under: uncultured bacterium
Lineage: Bacteria
Description: partial 16S ribosomal RNA
Rfam family: Bacterial small subunit ribosomal RNA
Source: RNAcentral